AUUGAACGCUGGCGGCAUGCUUUACACAUGCAAGUCGAACGGUAACAGGUCUUUCGGGAUGCUGACGAGUGGCGAACGGGUGAGUAAUGUAUCGGAACGUGCCCAGUAGUGGGGGAUAACUACUCGAAAGAGUGGCUAAUACCGCAUGAGAUCUCUGGAUGAAAGCGGGGGACCGUAAGGCCUCGCGCUACUGGAGCGGCCGAUAUCAGAUUAGGUUGUUGGUGAGGUAAAGGCUCACCAAGCCGACGAUCUGUAGCUGGUCUGAGAGGACGACCAGCCACACUGGGACUGAGACACGGCCCAGACUCCUACGGGAGGCAGCAGUGGGGAAUUUUGGACAAUGGGCGCAAGCCUGAUCCAGCAAUGCCGCGUGCAGGACGAAGGCCUUCGGGUUGUAAACUGCUUUUGUACGGAACGAAAAGCCUUCUUCUAAUACAGGAGGGUCAUGACGGUACCGUAAGAAUAGGCACCGGCUAACUACGUG
Molecule: ribosomal RNA, 484 nt
Filed under: uncultured bacterium
Lineage: Bacteria
Description: bacterial SSU rRNA
Rfam family: Bacterial small subunit ribosomal RNA
Source: RNAcentral